Molecule: ribosomal RNA, 467 nt
Filed under: uncultured bacterium
Lineage: Bacteria
Description: partial 16S ribosomal RNA
Rfam family: Bacterial small subunit ribosomal RNA
Source: RNAcentral
GACGAACGCUGGCGGCGUGCUUAACACAUGCAAGUCGAACGGAAAGGCCCUGCUUUUGUGGGGUGCUCGAAUGGCGAACGGGUGAGUAACACGUGAGUAACCUGCCCUUGACUUUGGGAUAACUUCAGGAAACUGGGGCUAUACCGGAUAGGAGCUCCUGCUGCAUGGUGGGGGUUGGAAAGUUUCGGCGGUUGGGGAUGGACUCGCGGCUUAUCAGCUUGUUGGUGGGGUAGUGGCUUACCAAGGCUUUGACGGGUAGCCGGCCUGAGAGGGUGACCGGCCACAUUGGGACUGAGAUACGGCCCAGACUCCUACGGGAGGCAGCAGUGGGGAAUAUUGCACAAUGGGCGGAAGCCUGAUGCAGCAACGCCGCGUGCGGGAUGACGGCCUUCGGGUUGUAAACCGCUUUCGCCUGUGACGAAGCGUGAGUGACGGUAAUGGGUGAAGAAGCACCGGCUAACUACGUG